AACGAACGCUGGCGGCGCGCCUAAUACAUGCAAGUCGAGCGAGAAGACGUAGCAAUACGUUUGUAAAGCGGCGAACGGGUGAGGAAUACAUGGGUAACCUACCCUCGAGUGGGGAAUAACUAGCCGAAAGGUUAGCUAAUACCGCGUACGCUCCUCGGACUUCGGUUCAGGGAGGAAAGCGAUACCGUGGGUAUCGCGCUCUUGGAUGGGCUCAUGUCCUAUCAGCUUGUUGGGAGGUAACGGCUCACCAAGGCUUCGACGGGUAGCUGGUCUGAGAGGACGAUCAGCCACACUGGCACUGCGACACGGGCCAGACUCCUACGGGAGGCAGCAGUAAGGAAUAUUGCGCAAUGGGCG
This 357-nucleotide ribosomal RNA is filed under the name uncultured bacterium. RNAcentral's name for it is "bacterial SSU rRNA". It matches the Rfam family "Bacterial small subunit ribosomal RNA", at positions 29 to 377 of the family's 1533-position model. The record is from RNAcentral.